UCCGCGAUAGCUCAGUUGGUAGAGCAAGUGACUGUUAAUCACUGGGUCCCUGGUUCGAGUUCCAGGUACGUGGAGCCA
Molecule: transfer RNA, 78 nt
Filed under: Pseudomonas syringae pv. actinidiae
Lineage: Bacteria; Pseudomonadati; Pseudomonadota; Gammaproteobacteria; Pseudomonadales; Pseudomonadaceae
Description: tRNA-Asn
Rfam family: tRNA
About the family: Transfer RNA (tRNA) molecules are approximately 80 nucleotides in length. Their secondary structure includes four short double-helical elements and three loops (D, anti-codon, and T loops).
Source: RNAcentral